RNAcentral lists this transfer RNA (73 nucleotides) under Schistocerca americana (American grasshopper). RNAcentral's name for it is "tRNA-Thr". It matches the Rfam family "tRNA". From Rfam's summary of the family: Transfer RNA (tRNA) molecules are approximately 80 nucleotides in length. Their secondary structure includes four short double-helical elements and three loops (D, anti-codon, and T loops). Further hydrogen bonds mediate the characteristic L-shaped molecular structure. tRNAs have two regions of fundamental functional importance: the anti-codon, which is responsible for specific mRNA codon recognition, and the 3' end, to which the tRNAs corresponding amino acid is attached (by aminoacyl-tRNA synthetases). tRNAs cope with the degeneracy of the genetic code in two manners: having more than one tRNA (with a specific anti-codon) for a particular amino acid; and 'wobble' base-pairing, i.e. permitting non-standard base-pairing at the 3rd anti-codon position. The record is from RNAcentral. Lineage: Eukaryota; Metazoa; Arthropoda; Insecta; Orthoptera; Acrididae.
UUCUCGGUGGCUCAGAUGGAUAGAGCGUCUGCCAUGUAAGCAGGAGACCCGGGUUCGAGUCCCGGUCGGGGCA